CAGUAGCCGCGGGAAUACAGAGGGUGCGAGCGUUAAUCGGAUUUACUGGGUGUAAAGCGUGCGUAGGCGGCUUCUUAAGUCGGAUGUGAAAUCCCUGAGCUUAACUUAGGAAUUGCAUUCGAUACUGGGAAGCUAGAGUAUGGGAGAGGAUGGUAGAAUUCCAGGUGUAGCGGUGAAAUGCGUAGAGAUCUGGAGGAAUACCGAUGGCGAAGGCAGCCAUCUGGCCUAAUACUGACGCUGAGGUACGAAAGCAUGGGGAGCAAACAGGAUUAGAUACCCCCGUAGUCCCUGUCUCUUAUAC
Molecule: ribosomal RNA, 301 nt
Filed under: uncultured bacterium
Lineage: Bacteria
Description: partial 16S ribosomal RNA
Rfam family: Bacterial small subunit ribosomal RNA
Source: RNAcentral